Hibiscus syriacus is the source of this 689-nucleotide long non-coding RNA. RefSeq lists it as uncharacterized. The transcript is spliced from 3 exons. NCBI's taxonomy places the organism in Eukaryota, Viridiplantae, Streptophyta, Magnoliopsida, Malvales, Malvaceae. The record is from RefSeq and is a predicted model, not a curated record.
CCCAGCUUCUAAAACUCUCCCCCGCCGUUUCUCUUUACUCUCUCAUCCCUCUCAAACGCUCGACCCCGGAGACCAAAGACAGAACAAUACACCAUACGCCUAAGCUUUCUCCUCAAGCCAUCACUCACGACAGCCACCAAGGCCGAGACUAAGCCAAACCAAAUAUCUUACAACAGAAACCAAAACCGAAGGACUAAAACGAACCCAACCUCAUUGCUAAACCACGGGGCCACCGCGACCUCCAACGUUUCAACGGACUCCGAUGAAGUCCCUAAAGCCGAGAAAGGCUAACUCUAAGGUUUCACGCAUGGAUGUGGACAGCACUGAAUCAAACAUGCAUCUAUGGUGACUGGCGGGUCAGAUCUUGUAAUCGGGUUUGGAUUCACUCGUGGGGGUGUAGGAAUUGGCAAGACCAAUGCAGUUUAAUCAAUUAGCUGUUGGAAUCUCUAUUGGGGUACGACAUAUGCAGUACUUGGUUAACAUGAGAGGCCUGGGUGAAGCGCGAGGGUGCAGGAUUGCUUUUGUCGUAGUGGACUUGAGCUUCAGGCCUACAUAAAAUAAUAUAAUUUGUAUUAAUAAUAAUAAUAUAUAAUUAAUAUUUAUAAUAAUUUUUAAGUCCGGUUAAAAACGAGUGUUUACAGAUUUGUUAUUUUUUAAUGUUGGAUAAUUAAUUUAUUGGGCUCAUAGUG